GGGGUUGUGGCUCAGUGGUAGAGCACUUGCCUAGCACGUGUGAGGCACCAAGUUCAAUUCUCAGCACCA
RNAcentral lists this transfer RNA (69 nucleotides) under Urocitellus parryii (Arctic ground squirrel). RNAcentral's name for it is "Spermophilus parryii (Arctic ground squirrel) tRNA". It matches the Rfam family "tRNA". Rfam says of the family: Transfer RNA (tRNA) molecules are approximately 80 nucleotides in length. Their secondary structure includes four short double-helical elements and three loops (D, anti-codon, and T loops). Further hydrogen bonds mediate the characteristic L-shaped molecular structure. tRNAs have two regions of fundamental functional importance: the anti-codon, which is responsible for specific mRNA codon recognition, and the 3' end, to which the tRNAs corresponding amino acid is attached (by aminoacyl-tRNA synthetases). tRNAs cope with the degeneracy of the genetic code in two manners: having more than one tRNA (with a specific anti-codon) for a particular amino acid; and 'wobble' base-pairing, i.e. permitting non-standard base-pairing at the 3rd anti-codon position. The record is from Rfam by way of RNAcentral. RNAcentral also lists the same sequence under 2 other names. Lineage: Eukaryota; Metazoa; Chordata; Mammalia; Rodentia; Sciuridae.